CCUACGGGCGGCUGCAGUGGGGAAUAUUGCACAAUGGGCGCAAGCCUGAUGCAGCCAUGCCGCGUGUGUGAAGAAGGCCUUCGGGUUGUAAAGCACUUUCAGCGGGGAGGAAGGCGGUGAGGUUAAUAACCUCAUCGAUUGACGUUACCCGCAGAAGAAGCACCGGCUAACUCCGUGCCAGCAGCCGCGGUAAUACGGAGGGUGCAAGCGUUAAUCGGAAUUACUGGGCGUAAAGCGCACGCAGGCGGUCUGUCAAGUCGGAUGUGAAAUCCCCGGGCUCAACCUGGGAACUGCAUUCGAAACUGGCAGGCUAGAGUCUUGUAGAGGGGGAUAGAAUUCCAGGUGUAGCGGUGAAAUGCGUAGAGAUCUGGAGGAAUACCGGUGGCGAAGGCGGCCCCCUGGACAAAGACUGACGCUCAGGUGCGAAAGCGUGGGGAGCAAACAGGAUUAGAUACCCGAGUAGUC
Molecule: ribosomal RNA, 465 nt
Filed under: uncultured Klebsiella sp.
Lineage: Bacteria; Pseudomonadati; Pseudomonadota; Gammaproteobacteria; Enterobacterales; Enterobacteriaceae
Description: bacterial SSU rRNA
Rfam family: Bacterial small subunit ribosomal RNA
Source: RNAcentral